GCAGUGAUUGACCACCUGGUGGGAAGGCUGGGCCAAUUUAGGGGAGCUCAGGUGCAUGCAGCGCAUAUGCAAUGCACCUGAGACCAGAAGGGAUCCUGGCUCCACCCCUUCCCAGACCUCACGUAAGGGUUAGCAGUGGAGGCAAAGGCCUCUUACUGGAGGUUCCCGUGUAUCUGAGGCCUUCUGGAGGUGAAAGCCUCCACCAACAGGAAUGUGAAGCUGGUGCCUUUUAAAGCCUCUGGAAGAGCGCUCUGCCCUGUGCUUCAUUGCUUUUGAUGACAACAUGGGAACUCCUGCCAUUCUGAUUUGAAGUGUCAAGGAAAAGCAAUUCCUGUGAUACUGGUGCUCUUGCUCUUUCAUAGCUUCCUGCCAUGAUGUGUGAGGUCCAACUGAUCCUGGAGCUUUCACUCAGAGUGGGGAUUUAGGGCCAGGAGAGCCCCUGAGAGAGAGAGGUGUUACACAGAACAAUUAGGGAGUCAAAGCCCACUGUGGAUCUGUGGAGGUUCAUGAUGUGAUUCCUUACCAAAGUGAACUAAAUCAGAGCAAGCAGAUUAAAACCUGUAUGAAGAUCAGACAUAGGCCCCAUGUGGGAAAACACAAAACACUUUAGACAAUUGUGUGGAGGGCAGGGAACAGAAAAAGGUAAUAUUCUGCCUGACAGUGGUCUUGAUAACCUGGCAAACAAGGUGAAAACUGGGAAUAUAAACAUCCUGUUUUAAAAAACAACAACAACAAAAACAAAACAAAAAAACCCUGAAAAACAGACAAUCUCUUGACAUUUACGAAAGACUUGAUCUUCUAAUGAAAUUAAAUACUGAGGAAAACCUAACAUAUCUGAACAGUGCUUGUAGAGACACCCUGGGGAAGGAAGACAACUCCAAGAGUAUUAUAAAAGCCAUCCUCUUGCAGUGCAAGAGGAAGAGGAUUGCAGACUUCAAAAGUUGAACUGGAGGAACCGCUUAGAAGGACAACAUUUAAUUCUUUCCUGUCAUGUCAGUGAUCUAUAUGCUGAGGACAUAAUUUAUUCCUGAAAAAUGCUCCUACAGGAGAAGGGACAUGGGCGUUAAUCUCACAUAGAUCAAGGGAAUGCUUUGGAAAUGCAUCACAAGUAUCCUGAGGUUUAGAUUCUAGAAACAAAUUCUUCUUUGAGAAAAAGACCCUUGAGCUGGACUUAAUCCACAGUACUGCCACUCAGGGACCAACUGUAAUCUGUUUAGGCCCAUAUCUUGUAUUUACAAGUACCAGAAUCAAAUACCGACAGUACUCAGUAGUGCAUAAUUAAAUUCUUACUCCCCUCUGAAGUCAUUGGCAAAACUUCCACUGACUUCAAUAGUGCUGGAUUAAGCCUUAACAGAAUAUCAUGAGAAUUUGAAAAGCAAAUUGGAUCCAAAUUUUGCAAAUGGUUACUUGUCUCUUUUGUGGAUCAAACCAUAUCUAAAAAAAAAUCAACGUUACUGUGAAUGAAAUCAGGAUAUGUAUUCAUAGUGUGUGUUCUGAAUGCUUUUACAGAAGUUAUACAAAAUUGAGUCACUUAGGGGACUGCAGCAAUAAUAAGAGUUGUGUAAAUACCAUGUAGCAAAAAUAUUCCAUGGUUAGCCUGUUCUUUUUGGCACAAUCCAUCUGGCAGAAACUUAUACAUUUAUUUUGUUGUUUCUCAUGGGCUCAUGGUGAAUAAUUUCUGCUCUGCAGAUGGUUGUGAUGUGGAUGAUUCUUUAAGUCCAGUUUCAAGCUUUAGCUCUGUGGCUUAAAGUAACAAACUGUAUUCCGAUGACAGGAUCUCUGAGAAGCUGAUUUUCAAUAUUAAUUUUGAAAUAAAUUCCAUUGCUUUAUAGGUAUAUUUCUCAAUAUUAGUUUACAGUUUUAAAACUGGCAAGAAGUGAGUUCCUGAGCAUAGAUGAAUUGUCCCCUGCCAUUCACAGUAUACUAUUUGAGCUGAAGUUGCAGAAAUUUUUCAAAAUGGUUACACUGCAGAGAUUCCUUUCUUUUUUUACGAAUAAUUUCAUUUUACUAUAAAAGUAAUACUAAAACAGAUUCACUAAACAAGACUAUCCUGAUGUAGAAAUGCCAAGCUAGAAAUGCAUGGAAUGGAAGGUGACCUGAAUUUGCCUCGAUGGCUUAAGAGGAUAUUAUUCUGGCACUCACUGGAUAGGUAUUUGUCAAUAAAUGUUGUUCCCAAACUUC
This is a long non-coding RNA of Phasianus colchicus (ring-necked pheasant), 2181 nucleotides long. RefSeq lists it as uncharacterized. NCBI's taxonomy places the organism in Eukaryota, Metazoa, Chordata, Aves, Galliformes, Phasianidae. The record is from RefSeq and is a predicted model, not a curated record.